GAUGCGCCAGAGCGAAAAAAAGCCCUUUUUUAUUAUCCCGGUCAGCUCAUUUUGUACAGAGGUGAAGAUGACGAUUCCGUGAAGAAGUAAUGGCUGACGUUGUCGAACAUUCAGACCCACUGGAGGCGUUUCACAGCCUGGAGCCCGCCGAUAAGGAAUUCGAUGUGACUUGAUGGACUUGCAUCCACAGCCUUUUGUGAGGCCUGUGACAGGCUGUCUGACUGCUGCAAGAUGUUUGUCAGAGCCCCACACCAUGACUAGGUCAUUGGUUCUUCACAAUCCCUACCUUGAAGAGGUAUUAUGGCCAGCCGUUACUCCCCGUCGAGAAAAGAUCCCUGCAAGCGUACUUGACUGGCUGUAUGCGUCUAAUACGUCUGCAAGCACCAACUGAAGUGGGUGCUGCACGUAAUCAUUACCCACAGCAGUGGUGUCGGUCAGUGGUGUAACUACCUUCCUCAACAAUCACCAGCUGCUGGCUUGUGACAGUUUUGACGAAAAUUAGUCGGUCUCUCUCAUUCCGUUAUCCCUUUGUCGACUCUGAGGAGAUGCUCGACAACCACAUAAUUUGGUACUUCCCGUACAGCCUAGUAUUUGCUUCCUACACCAGCCACA
Long non-coding RNA from Sycon ciliatum, 612 nucleotides. RefSeq lists it as uncharacterized. Lineage: Eukaryota; Metazoa; Porifera; Calcarea; Leucosolenida; Sycettidae. The record is from RefSeq and is a predicted model, not a curated record. The transcript is spliced from 4 exons.